GAUGAACGCUGGCGGCGUGCUUAACACAUGCAAGUCGAACGGUGAAGCAGGAGCUUGCUCUUGUGGAUCAGUGGCGAACGGGUGAGUAACACGCGAGCAACCUGCCCCUGACUCUGGGAUAAGCGCUGGAAACGGCGUCUAAUACUGGAUAUGUGAUGUGACCGCAUGGUCUGCAUCUGGAAAGAAUUUCGGUUGGGGAUGGGCUCGCGGCCUAUCAGCUUGUUGGUGAGGUAAUGGCUCACCAAGGCGUCGACGGGUAGCCGGCCUGAGAGGGUGACCGGCCACACUGGGGCUGAGACACGGCACAGACUCCUACGGGAGGCAGCAGUGGGGAAUAUUGCACAAUGGGCGGAAGCCUGAUGCAGCAACGCCGCGUGAGGGAUGACGGCCUUCGGGUUGUAAACCUCUUUUAGCAGGGAAGAAGCGAAAGUGACGGUACCUGCAGAAAAAGCACCGGCUAACUACGUGCCAGCCGCCGCCGUAA
Molecule: ribosomal RNA, 484 nt
Filed under: uncultured bacterium
Lineage: Bacteria
Description: partial 16S ribosomal RNA
Rfam family: Bacterial small subunit ribosomal RNA
Source: RNAcentral